UCUGGCGGCUGUAGCGCGGUGGUCCCACCUGACCCCAUGCCGAACUCAGAAGUGAAACGCCGUAGCGCCGAUGGUAGUGUGGGGCCUCCCCAUGCGAGAGUAGGGAACUGCCAGAC
Molecule: ribosomal RNA, 116 nt
Filed under: Citrobacter freundii
Lineage: Bacteria; Pseudomonadati; Pseudomonadota; Gammaproteobacteria; Enterobacterales; Enterobacteriaceae
Also listed under: 16 other names
Source: RNAcentral